This 619-nucleotide ribosomal RNA is filed under the name uncultured Acidobacteriota bacterium. Its description in RNAcentral is "bacterial SSU rRNA". It matches the Rfam family "Bacterial small subunit ribosomal RNA", at positions 29 to 668 of the family's 1533-position model. The record is from RNAcentral. Lineage: Bacteria; Pseudomonadati; Acidobacteriota.
AUCAACGCUGGCGGCGUGCCUAACACAUGCAAGUCGAACGAGAAAGUGGCUUCGGCCAUGAGUACAGUGGCGAACGGGUGAGUAACACGUGACUAACCUGCCCUUGAGUGGGGGAUAACCUCGGGAAACCGGGGCUAAUACCGCAUAACAUCUCCGGGCGCAAUUCCUGGAGAUCAAAAGCGCAAGUUGCUUAAGGAGGGGGUCGCGGCUGAUUAGCUAGUUGGUAGGGUAAUGGCCUACCAAGGCUGUGAUCAGUAGCCGGCCUGAGAGGGCGCACGGCCACACUGGAACUGAAACACGGUCCAGACUCCUACGGGAGGCAGCAGUGGGGAAUUUUGCGCAAUGGGGGAAACCCUGACGCAGCAACGCCGCGUGGAGGAUGAAGCCCCUUGGGGUGUAAACUCCUUUCGACCGGGACGAUAAUGACGGUACCGGUGGAAGAAGCACCGGGCUAACUCUGUGCCAGCAGCCGCGGUAAUACAGAGGGUGCAAGCGUUGUUCGGAAUUAUUGGGCGUAAAGGCCGCGUAGGCGGUGCGGUAAGUCUCCUGUGAAAUCUCCCGGCUCAACCGGGAGCCUGCAGGGAAACUGCCGUGCUGAUGUGGAAAAGGAAAUGGAAUU